RNAcentral lists this ribosomal RNA (954 nucleotides) under uncultured bacterium. RNAcentral describes it as "bacterial SSU rRNA". It matches the Rfam family "Bacterial small subunit ribosomal RNA", at positions 8 to 989 of the family's 1533-position model. The record is from RNAcentral.
AGAGUUUGAUCCUGGCUCAGGAUAAACGCUGGCGGCGUGCCUUAUGCAUGCAAGUCGAACGGUCUUGAUUUAUCGAGAUAGUGGCGAACGGGUGAGUAACGCGCAAGUAACCUGCCCCUAAGUAGAGGAUAACUCUGAGAAAUUAGAGCUAAUACUGUAUGUGGUGGUGGAGGUAAUGCUUCAUCACUAAAGCUUUAGGGCGCUUAGGGAGGAGCUUGCGUCCGAUUAGCUAGUUGGUAGAGUAAAGGUCUACCAAGGCGAUGAUCGGUAGCUGGUUUGAGAGGACAUUCAGCCACACUGGGACUGAGAUACGGCCCAGACUCCUACGGGAGGCAGCAGCAAGGAAUUUUGUGCAAUGGGCGAAAGCCUGACACAGCGACGCCGUGUGGGGGACGAAGGCCUUCGGGUUGUAAACCUCUUUUCUCAGGGAAGAAUAAUGACGGUACCUGAGGAAUAAGUCUCGGCUAACUACGUGCCAGCAGCCGCGGUAAUACGUAGGAGGCUAGCGUUGUCCGGAUUUAUUGGGCGUAAAGAGGGCGUAGGCGGCCUUUCAAGUCGGAUGUAAAAUCUCCCGGCUCAACUGGGAGGGACCAUUCGAUACUGUUAGGCUGGAGGGCAGCAGAGGGAGGUGGAAUUCCCGGUGUAGUGGUGAAAUGCGUAGAUAUCGGGAGGAACACCAGUGGCGAAGGCGGCCUCCUGGGCUGUUUCUGACGCUGAGGCCCGAAGGCGUGGGGAGCAAACAGGAUUAGAUACCCUGAUAGUCCAUGCUGUAAACUAUGGACACUAGGUAUAGGGAGUAUCGACCCUCUCUGUGCCGAAGUUAACGCUUUAAGUGUCCCGCCUGGGGAUUACGGCGCAAGGCUAAAACUCAUGGAAUUGACGGGGACCCGCACAGCAGCGGAGCGUGUGGUUUAUUUCGAUGCACGCGAAGAACCUUACCAAGGCUUGACAUGU